UUGUGUUUGAGGUAUAGAUUCAUUUGUCUUGACAACAGCAAGCCAAGGUGGAAGAACACUGAACAAAGCCAGUUGGUAUCAAUCUGAAUGUAUAGGAUUUCUGCAAGCUUGAAGACGAAGGAAAAAGCAGAUAAUUAGCAAAAGAUGGGAUAAUAGUCUUCGGCUUCAAGGAAGGACUUCAUAAAUGCUCCUUCAUUGCUUAUGUUACAAUAGUUAUUAUUUCUGUGCUUGUUGUUUCAGUGGUCGUACUAAAGGAAGCCACAAAGAUAGCAGAGAAGAAAAUCUAGCAAGAUAACAUAUUAAUUGUAAAUGAUUAUUUGUAAUUUUAAUUGUAAAGGCCAUGCUUUGUCUUUUUUUUCUUUCUUCUUCUUUUUAAGAACCCAUCGAAAAACCACUGCACAUUUCAUUUACAUGAAAUGGGUGCAAAGAUAGGGCUGUUGGGGAGCCUAGCACCACUAGAAGUAACAUAAUAGAGGAGGAAUAAUGGGAGAGGGGGAAUCAAACAGGAAGCAGGGAGAGAUGAAACUUCACCUUGAUCGGCUCUUAAUCUCCUAUCUUUCCUUUACCCAAAGAGCGUCCUAAACACCACCAUCUCCAUCUCCUUCCUCCUAACAGGAAUAUCGGAUAACCUUUAACCUUCAAACCCCUCAUCCGAUAUUUCUGCAUGUGCUGAGUUAUUCAUAUAUAUCUCCAAAAAAAUGUGAUCAGUCCCUGAAUCACUCCCAGUCCUUGAAUCACUCCCAGUAUGUUGUUCAGUUAACACAUCUACAACCUAUACGCUUCUCAAUGCAAAAGCAUCGAAAUUUUAUCUUCUAUAUUUCCCGAUAUAGUUGAAUAGUUUUGCAACUAAUACUAUAAUAAAAAUCUUAUUUUUCUUUUGGAUAUAUGGCCUUGGACCUAAACCUAUUCUAGUUAUUUUUUUUAUUUUUUAUUUUUUUGGGUGAAAACGGCAAUUUCAUAUAACUCUAACGUGAGUGAGAAUUUUAGAGGGAGAAGUUUAUCUGAUACCGGAUUUUGCACAAGGUGAUAAAUGUCUAGAGUGACUUUUAACCAAGCCAAAAUCGGUGGUUAGAUGUCUCCAAAAAAAUUGCCACCAAUAAUAAGGGUUAAUAAAGCCGGAAAAUGACUGAAAUACCAACCCUUCAUUUGCUAAAUAUAAGAAAAAUAUCUAAAAUGACCUCUGAUGCAUAUUAUGUUGAAAUAGAAGUAUUAAGUUAUAAAGACCUGUACCAGUUUGUUUAGUUACACAUCAGUUAUGUGUUAGAAAAAUCUUAGAUACUUAUACAAGAUCAAAAAAUUCAAAUAAUAUUUUCUUGCCAGUAUAUAUUUAGUCCAAUAUCAGUUAUAUGCCGAGAAGAUUUUGGAUACUUAUAUAGAGUCAAGAAUCUUAAUAACACCAUUCAACUAACCUUUUUAGGUGAGGUUGCAUCUCCUUACAUAAGAACAUCUAAUUUUGGGAGUCAGUACAAAUUCUUAAGGCAUUAAUGCAUCACCUUAUAUGCCAAAAGUCUAUUCCAAUCAUGACAUGAUUUUUAUGAAGUAUUUAAAUUAUUAAAAGAAACUCUAUCCAAUCUAACUAUUCAUACAAGUAGGUGGGUGAUUAGUUGGGAUAAAAUAUGAUAUUUAUGCUUAUCGUGACAUUAAAAAUGAAAAAUAAAAAAAUCUAUUACUACUUGGCAAAAAAUUAAUACUAUUAUCUUAUAUAUCAAGAGUAUAUCUCCAUCGUAAUUAUAAUUUUAUGAAGCAUCCAAAUUAUUAGAAGAAGCCCAGUGCAAUCCUUCUACUCACACACAGAGUAGCUGGGUGAUUAGUUGCGAUAAGAUAUUCUGUAUGUGCUUAUGAUGAUAUUUAAAAUGAAAAAAACAGCUAAUAAAAGAAAAUUAAUGCCAUUACCUUAUAUACCAUGAGUUUAUUCCGACCGUAAUUAUGAUUUAUGAGGCAUUCAAAUUACUAGAACAAGCUUAGUCCAACCCACUUGUUCCCAGGAGCAGAUGGGUCACUUGCUGGGACAAGAUACUAUGCAUGUAUGCUUAUGGUGAUAUUAAAAAUGAAAGAAAAAACAUUAUGACUACUAAAAAGAAAAAAAGAAAAGAUACGCGAAAAGCUCAGUAGAGGUACGGCAUGGAAAGAGUAAAGUUGGCUAUGCCGUACCGGCUCCUGCAUCCGCGCCUGUUCCUCUAGCCUCCCGUUCUUUCUAAGAGACCCCUUAUCCAGCCUGCAGCAGAAGAAUAUAUGCACGCCAUAAACUAACAAGAAGUCGAAAGCACCCAUGAAAGCCUUUGUACAUACUGGUCAAUGGUCAUGGAACCCUCUCACAUCUGCCUAACUCCGCUGAGAGAGCUGGAAGACGCCAUAUCAAAGGAUGAAGGACAUGAGAAGCGUGAUGCCAAAGAAUAAGUUUCUGAGAACGCAAGGGCCAUAUCAUCUGCGAGACUGCCGUCCCCGUUGAGAUAUUGGAUCACCUGCCUCAUGGUAGGCCUGACCUCUGGAAUGGACUGAGAACAAACCAGUCCUAGCUUAAGUACCAGCUCAACUUCCUCCCUCGCAUAGGACUCCCCGAGCUUGGGAUCCACAACCUCCAAUAGCUGGCCUCUUAUUUUGGACUCCCUCACCCAGUCCAUCAGAAGUAGCUGUUCCGUUUGAGCAGUAGGCUCGAUUGGCCUCCGACCGCACGCCACCUCUAAAAGCAAUAUACCAUAAGCAAAGACAUCCGAACUGGCCAUGGGUUUGCCUGUGCGCGACAGUUCUGGUGCAAUGUAUCCUAAGGUUCCAACGACAAGCGUCGUGUGAGAAUUCUUGCCACGCUCGUACAAUCUAGCAAGACCGAAGUCGCCCAACCUUCCAUUCAUUUCAGCAUCCAAUAGAACAUUGCUAGACUUGAUGUCUCUGUGGACAACCACUUGCUCCCAUUCCUCGUGUAGGUAGACGAGUCCCAAAGCAAUUCCCUUGAGGAUCUUAAACCGUUGAUCCCAACUCAACAGCCCACACUUCUCACUUUCGAAGAGGAAGGUGUCAAGGCUGCCAUUGGGCAUGAACUCAUAUACCAGAAGGAGGUCUUCGUUUCGCUUGCACCAUCCUUGGAGCUGCACCAAGUUCCUGUGCCUCAUGCGGCCCAAGUACGCCACCUCUGCUAUGAAUUCUCUCACUCCUUGCCUGGAAUUACCAGAGAUCUUCUUGACUGCAACUUCUUCUCCAGUGCGUGGUAGGGUUCCCUUGUACACAAGGCCGAAGCCACCCGAUCCGAGGAGCUCUGUCUCUUUGAAUCCUUUGGUUGCCUUGUAAAGGUCCUUAUAUGGGAACCUACGAGGAUAAUCUAAUUCCCAGUCCUCAAGAGUCUCUGCAAGCUUUGCCCUCUGCCAUAAGUGCCAGGAAACAGAGAAUGCAACCGCCACCAAGAGAAGGGUAGCAAGAGAAGAUAUGACCCCAAUUUUGAUUCCAGAGGCUUUGGAAAUAGACGAAAAUUUCGCUGGUUGUGGAGGAAGGGGUAGGCGAGAUAGAUCAAGGGAGCGCGCCACUCCGUUGGUCCGAAAGCUCCAUCCCAAGAUGUAAUGAGAACUUGAGAGCUUCCCCGUCGAUGAAGAGAAACCAACAUACACGUAUUCCUUAAGAAUUGAAGACAGAUCGAUGGCGUAUGAUAUGAGAGGUCGGCUUGGUUUGCCUACAGAGACGGGAGAAAUGGCCACAUUCAGAAUUUUUGCAACACCAUCGUAGUCUAUCCAGGCCUGAAUUGGCUGCCCACUCUCCAGUUCAAAAUCUACCAUCUUGGAAUUACUGGUGCAGUAGGAGGCAGUUUUCGAAACAUUGGAAACAAGGCUGUUUAUGUCGACACCAACGUGGUUGCCAUCGAUGUCCUUCAACAGAUUAGAUGCCUGAACGGUAUCAAACUCCACCGCAAAGACAUGGUUGGAAGAAUUGCCAUUGUUCCUGCUAUUGAGGAGGCCAAGGUACUGGCAACAACUGCCUUCGAGAGCCUUUGUAGGGGCCACGGCGAAGGCCAAGCCAUGGCCGCCUCCGUUCCCAACAGCGAUGAUGUCGAAGACGAAAGUGGUGCUGAAGGAGAUUGUAGUCGGUGUCAUGGAGCGAGUGUUGAGCAGCAUUUGAAUUGGUGAGGAGAAGAAGGCAUGGCCCGUCACUUCUUUGGUGUCAUUGGUGAGCUGAAGCACGCCAUCGGAUGUGAUGCGAGCAGAGCCAUCUAAGCUCAGAUUGGUGGCUGAUUUGAAACCAUUGCAGGUAAAAUCGAUACUAACAGAGAGGGAAGAGCAGGCUAAGAGAAGAACGAGGAGCGGAAGCACGAUGGAUGCUGCCAUGAUGGCUUGAGAAAAAAACCGGGAGAAGAUAAUGGAAAUAGAGGGGCCUUUGCGAUGGACGACCUUGUCUGGAAGUCUUUUCGAUUGAGUGAGUGCUUUUUCGACUAGACAGCUCGUAUUGGCUUGGCCGUUCUUAUCCUUCAGCAAAGGCAACACUAAUCAGAAGGUGACAAGCGGAAAUGAAGUUUCCCACUAAGACGGCUAAGUGCGGGGUUCAGAUGGAAAUAAUUGCAGGCCAUCAAAUACAAGCCAAGACAACCUGCAAGACUUCCACUUGGAAGAUAAAAGGUCUUGGAAGGCAUCUUGGAGACUCCCUAACAAUAAGUAAUAAUUGCAAGGCAACCUCGGAGCCGUUUCACGAAAUGCCUCUUGUUUGGUUGGAGUUUUCAAAGAAGAAAGAUAGAAAAGUUGUAUUCCAAUGGGAAUAUGAUUCCCACAUUUCAUGGAAAAGUCUUUCCCAUGAGAAACAUGGAAAAGUUACUUUCCCAUGAGGUGGGAAUCACUCCUUUUUUAUUUUUUCCAAAAAAGAUCCUUCAACAUUAAAGAAGCAUUAAAGAGGCAUUAAAGAGGCAUUAAAGAACUAAUUUUUAUUAAGGGCAUAAUAGGAAUUAUACAUAACUUUCCUAGGAAAGUGGAUGGUCAACCAAACAUAAGCGCUUUGGAAAUUUGUCACUUUCCCAUAGUUAACCAAACAUGCCAAAAGUACUUUCCUAGGUAUCCUCUUCCUAAGAAUCUGAUUCCCAGGAAUCAUAUUCCUAGGAGGAAAAAUACUUCCCGCGAACCAAACGAGCCUUAUUUAUUCAAAAGGACUUCCAUAGCAAGCGUGUCCAUCGCAGAGAGAGCUAGCCAGCUUGCUGAACCCCACACUUGGCCAUCGAAGUUUUUAAUUCAUUAGAUGUCUUUUCCUAGGCUAACAACAAUCUUAUGUUAUCACUAGAUGCCUUUUUCCUUCAGUUCAAGUUUACAAGCGAAUGGAAACUGUGGAGCAUUUUAUGAGGGAUUUCAUGGUGGAAGCAUCGGCAUCCAGGUAUCUCUUCGCUCUUUCAUGUCGUGAAUUUUCACCCGUCUGCAUGUUUAUAUCUUGUGGAAAACCAAAAUCUACAGUUCUACAUGCAUGUGUCAACAAAUUCCAUCUAUUCAUUGUGUAAAUGAAACUCGACCUUCGUUGCAUGGUUCAUCAGAUGAGCACUUGACUUUGGCCUACACAGGAAUCAGGGGCUGCAGUGAUCUGUGCAGUACGUACAAGAGAGAGAGAGAGGAAGUUGAGCCACAAUCUCAUUAGUGGGAUUCAUGAUCCAAAUCUCCUACUGAUGCAAAUUAUGUGAUGGACUAUCCAAAUUUAGAAUCCAGAUAGUUAAUCAUGUGUUGGGAUAUUUGGGAAGCUUAUGCAUCACACGAACACAAAAUGAUAACUGAUGAUGAUGCCAUAACUGGUGAUGAUUUGGCCUGUUAAAACCAGAAAAGUCAUGGUCCUUACACGUUUUGAUAUUGAUGGUUGGGAUUCUUGAAGCGUAUAGCCACCCAUGCUUUUGUUGCCCUGGCUCUUUCACUAUUCCAUAUGAUAAUGCAAUUAAUUUGACUUUAUUCGUAGUUGCAGUUUCCAAAAUUUUCGUAUUUAGUGCAGUAUUAUGACACUUUGCUAGGUGAUCAAUGUCUAAUUCUUCCUGUAAUAGUAUCUGAUUACUGCAAAUAUAAUGAGAGGUUACCUACAUAAAUCUUUCUGUACUACUUUAGAGUUCAUAGUUGAAAGUGAUAAAGGUGAAGAUGCAAUGUUCUUUUUUAAAUUUAUUCCUCGCAGCUUAAUUCUAUAACUUCAUAAACAACUUUUAUGACCCAUUAUGUUUUUCAGCCGGUCUUACAGGGCCACCAGUUUCACCUAAAUUGGUUAAGGUUUUAUACUGCUCAGGAGUCAGGACACCCCGAAACAUCAAUUACUUCCUGAACUACUUACAGAUUAUCUUCUAUUAGUUUCUUUUCUUAUUGCCACUUAUGUUCAAUGAUUUUAAGUUGUUAAUUAUAAAUGAUAUUAUAUUUCAGUGAAUUCUUUAGUGAUGUUUGGAUGGUAUAUCCAAUGCAGUUUUACUGCAUUAUAGGUUUUGCCUUUUUUGCAAUUUUAAGUUGUUAAUAAUAAUAAUAAUAAUAAUAAUAAUAAUAUAUUAUGUUUGGUAUAUCAUUUUUAAAUUGAGAAACAAAAACUCUUUCCAUGAUUAUAUAAAUUAAUAAAUUAAUGAGUAGUAGCAUUAAUUACAGAAGUUCGUAGGCUAGAGAUAGAGAAGGAAGAGAUGAGGCAAUGCCAUCAGACAAAGAUACAGUCCUUAAGAGCUCAACUUGAUCAGAUUAUAUCUUUAUUACAGAUAUUUAUCCCACCUCAGAUGAAUAACUAUAUCUAUUUUUAUAUUUUAUAUAAUUAUCAUGUAUAUUUUUGUAUGGGCUUAAUGAUUUAUAAUACAUUAUGAUUUUUGUAUUUUCAACUUCUAAAGUUUCUAUCUUUUUCUUACAAGUUUGCGAUACUUCUAGCAAUCAUAGAGUUGAUGAUAAUGUUGCUAUGAACCACUGAUAACCCUUAGACUUUUUUUUUGGCAUUUUAUAUACGGUGUAUCUUCUUAUGUUUUUUGAGUUGUAAUAGGCACUGAAUUAUGUUUGACAAUGUAAAUAGUUGCAAUUUUUAUAUAUGAUACAAAUGUUAUACAUGACUUUAUUAUAUGAUACAAGCAUUUUUUGAGUUCUUUUAUUUGUUUGUUAUAUGUGACCACUGAAACAAGUGUGUUUUGUAUAGGUUUUGCUUCUUUUUUCCUUUUUGUUUAAAAAAAAUUAUGCAAGUUGGUGACAUUUUAAAGCAUCCUGAUAUUCUAAAUUAGAUGAUGUUUUAAAGCAUCAUCAAAAGAUCCUGUAAUGACGCUAAUCAUCAUCAUUAAUUAGCGAUAAUGGGAAGCGUUGUUAAUUAGCGAUGCUAAAUAGCAGCGUCGGAAGCAAUUCUCAUGCCCCCCCACCCCACGCCGUGUUUAACUUCCCAAUGCUUAAAAACGUCGUUAGCCUAAAAUUAAAAUGGGCACGACCAAGAACUCAAGAAGCGUCGUUCCUUUUCUUUUCUACGCUUGCAAAGAUGAUGUUUCUUCGACACUUGCUGUAGCGUAGCGUCGGGGCAUAAUCUUGCGACGCUAUAUAGGUGACUUAAAAGCACCAAAAUGUCUUCUUUUUUUUUUGUAGUAUUUACACCAUCACCCACCUCUUUCUCUAUUUUAUUAGAGAUAGAAGCCGUCGCCCCCUUUAGAUGGCUGAGAUUUGGAAGCGCAUCCAUGGGAUGUGGAUGACAUGCAGUCCCGUUCAAUUGAAUGGAGUGGCGGAAAGAAACCAUCCAUGGGGUGGUGGGCCCAUGUUAGUGCAAGAUUAUCCCUUCUUUGCCGAUUGUUGGUCCGCAAAGCAUCCAAAUAGCCACCAAGAUGGUAGCUUGGUGCUAAAAGGGCUUGGACUCCACUUGAGUUAUCCGGAUUCGAAACGCACGGACGUCGAUUAAAUCAGGAGACCACAUGCCCCACGCCCGAAUGGCUCCGUGUGGAUAUGCUUUCCUUCCAUCAGUGCUGAGGUGGCGCUGGGGUGACGUACCACACGUAGAUGGCCCAGUGGGGUUUUUCAUGGGUUGGGGAGAGCACGCGGAAACUUGCGACCCGCAUCGAAUAUUUUCUAAUAGAAGGGGGCCCAAUGGGGGCUGCUACGCGGAUGGGGUUCUGCCCCUCCGCCUCCCCUCCUUUCUUUUACCAAAAAAGCAUCCAAAUACAUCCACACACACACACACACACACACACACACAUAUAUAUAUAUAUAUAGACACACACACACUAUAUUACAAAAUAAGAGAGUUGGACCAAUUUUAUUNNNNNNNNNNNNNNNNNNNNACACACACACACACACACACACACACACACACACACACAUAUAUAUAUAUAUAUAUAUAUAUAUAGACACACACCAAUUUGCACAUGAGAGAGAAUAUUUUCCAUCAAAAGCAGUGAUAUCAUGCCUUGAUCUUUAUUAGAUAUGUUAAAUAGACAAAAAGUAUCAUGGCCAAAUGUAUGACCAUAAUGGUGAUAUUUCAAACACUGAUGAUGAUAUAUAACAAGUUUAACAUUGUGUUCGCUCGAACUUGCACCUUCCAUAUGCUGCAACAAGCAUAUAAGAUAUUUUUUAGCGCAUCCUUCUAAAAAAUUAAAAGCAUCAAUAACUAGAAUAUAUGAUUUUUCCAAAGAAGAGGAUGUGGACUUUGCAUGUAAAUCAAUACAUAAAAAGAUAGCUUGUAACUUCCAAGGAUCUGAUUGAGAUAACAUUGCAUCACCAUCAAAUUUACAAUAGGAUUAUUGAGCCCCAUUAGCAUUGUAGUAGAGGUUAUACAAUACGGAAGCAUGAUUUUUGGAAGUGUUUGGAUCAAAACAAGCACCACCUGGUUGUAUAGAGCUACAAUCGACCAUUGUACAUAGGAAAGCUACAUCUUUUUCUAAAUACAACUCUGAAGCCUGAGGAUUUGCAAUGCACCAUGUCCUUGCCCGAUAAUUAAUAGCUAGACAACUGAUAAUUUAUGAUAAUAUUCUCAAUAGCUGGAAUUUGUCAAACUUCUCUACAUUCUAAAGCUUUCUCUGAUCCACAUCUCUAAUAGUAUUUAUACUAUCUCUUUGUUUGAUUGGGGUUAGAGGAAGUUUUCUAUCUGGAAUUGAAAUGUAGGACAUAACUGACUGAUUCUCCUUUGAAUAUCUCUAACUGUCUUCUUUAAAUCUCAAAAUACCUACACCAACCAUGCAAGAAAAUCAUGAAGUCUAGGAGGGAAGAUAAAAAGGCAUUGCUUUAUUCUUGUUGGGCCUUUGGUUGCUUCUCCUUGUUGGGAUUGUCAUUUUGGAAAUCUCUUGAAUGAUUAGAACUUCUCCAUAGCCAAUGACUCUUAAGAGGCAUUUGGUAUAGUGUGAUAACCCUAAUACUAAGAGUUAUGUGAGGAGGAGGCAACAAGAACAUCGUGUUUGGUUGCACCAUAGUGAUUCUAUGCGAGAGUGAUCUUAAAUCACCCCCACUCUUCAAAUAACCAUCCAACCCAGUGAUGAAAACCCUAUCCUUGAGGAUGGAUAUCCAAGAUCAUUCCAAGGCAGUGAUCAUAGGCUGCAAUUUAGGACAAAAAUAUCCCUCACUCCAAUAAAAAAUUUAAUAAUUAUAUCAAUAAAAAAUUUAAUAUCAAUAAUUCAUAAUUGAUAUAUUAUAUCAAUAAUUUAUAUUGCAUUAUAUUGAUAUUACGUAUAUAGUAUUUAUGAUAUAUUAUAUUAUAGUAUAUUAUUAAUCAUAUUACUCUCAUAUUAUUAUUCAACUAUUUUUUAUAAUUAAACAAAAAUAUAGUAUUAUAUUUUAUAUUUAUGUUAUAAAAUUAUUUAAUAUUACUUCUAUUUACCUUAUUUUUUUAAUCAAAUAAAUAUUAAUAUUAAACUAAUAAUAUAUUAUAUGUAUAAAUAAAAUUAUUAAUUUUAUAAUAACAAUUAAUAUAUUUUAUAAUAUUAAUAAUUUAUAUGAUUAAUAAAUAUAUUAUUAUGGAAUUAUUAUUAGUUAAUAUAUUAAUGAAUAUAUCAAUAAUUUAUUAUAAUAUAUUUUUAUAUGAUUAAAAAAUAUAUUUUUGUGGAAUAUAUCAGGGAUAGUUUUGGUACUAUAUGUUCAGUGAUUUUGGAUUUUCAUAGAAUACCAAACAGUUACUUGUGGAUAUUCAGCGGCCUUAUUCUUUAGAAAACAGUAUAUCAAACAUGGUGAUCUUAGAUUAUUGGGGGAUCAGUAUUACNNNNNNNNNNNNNNNNNNNNACCAAUGAUCGAUCUAAGUUCACCUUAGUGAUCCCAUUUGGAUCACUAAUUGCCAGCUUAACAUCUAACAAGCUACUGCACGAACACCAAAUUUACAUGUAGGGAUAAGAGAUGGAUGGUACUGUUGCAAAGUUGGAAGGAACUAGAGCUGAGUAUCAAGGGCAGCAAACUAUAUAUUAUGCAUACACUAUACAAUGGCGAGGUGAGAAAGGGUGACAAGGAAGAGCUGCGCACAGGCAUGCGCAUAAAUUGCAAGAUCUUUUCCUUGUUUUCUUAGGUCAAAGAGAUAAAAGAGUCGGCCUUCAGUCUGUAGAGGACAUCCAACCAAUCUAACUGGACGUGGUAAUAUUGGUUUGGAGAGCUGUUAUAAUUCCAAUCAAAUCCUACGGCUGCAAAGGCUUGUUGAGAGUAGUUGAUUGGUUGAUGUCUAAAGAUUAGGAUAGAAUAGAUAUCUGAUGUUUUAAGGUAUUAUUUGAAGGCUUCGAUUGUCUCUCGAAAGAAAUUAUUAGAACUCCUGUAUAUAGUAUUUAAGACCUACGAUUUUUGACAACAUAUUUAAGGAAAAGUUUGGUCAGGCUAGUGAAAUCGAUCCUAGCCCGAUGCAACAUGACAAGCGUUACUAGGCCUGAUCACAACGAGGUUGGGCUGAGCAAGCAUUUUUGUAUUGUCGAAUUAUUACCAAAAUCUUGCUCCUUAAACUAGAAUUUCUUCUUUGGCAUUUAAAUAGAAGAAAAUUAUUAUUUUAGGUGAAAGGAUCCAGCGAUUUUGGAUGGAUCCUCUAUGCGAAUGUAGAAGAGUACUGUUCGAUCAAUACCGGCACCAUCUACUUUGCAACUGCACCAGUAAUCUGAUAUUCUGAUUUAUCUACUUUGCACCAUCGCCAGUCUCUUUCUCUAAUUUAUCAGAGAUAGAAGCCAUCAACCCUUCAGACGGUCGAGUUUCGGAAGUUCGUCCACACGAUGUGGAUGACACACGGGCCAUGCAUUGCCAUUCAAUCGAACGGAGUGGGUGACAAGAAACCAUAUGAUAUAUGAUGCUAAUAUGAUGUAUGUGGUGUGGUGUGCCCAAGUUAGAACAAGACGAUCCCAUUUAGCUUCAGUUAUGUGUCAGUUCUGGGCCUCCCUGAAGGACCCUUCUUUGUCUGAUGUUGGUCCGCAUAGCAUCCAAACACAUGUACAUAUGCCAAUUUGCACAUAAGAGAGAAUAUUUUCCAUCGAAAGAUGCUCCGACUUUUAUUAGAUAAGUUGAAUGGACAAGGAGUAUCAUGACCAAAAUAUGACCAUGAUGGUAAGCUUUAUUUCAUCAGAUAACACAAGCGGGGAGCCUUAUGCAUUUCCAAGACUGAUGAUGAUUUAUUCCAAGUUUAACAUCGCGUUUACUCGAACUUGCACGUUCCAUAUGCUGCAACAAAUAUAUAUGAUAUCUUUUAGUACAUCCUUCUCAAAAAUUGAAAGCAUCAAUAACCGGAAGAUAAGAUUUUCCCAAAGAAGAGGAUGUGGACUUUGCAUGUAAAUCAAUACAUGAAGAGAUUAGCUUAACUUACAAGGAUCUGAUAGAGAUAGCAUGGCAUCACCACCAAAUUUGCAAUAGGAUUCUUGAGCCCCAUGAGCCUUGUAGUAAAGGUUGAACAACACGGAAGCAUGAUUCUGGAAAGUGUUUGGAUUAAAACAAGCACCGCCGGGUCUUAUAGAGCUACAGUCGACAUUUGUGCAUAGGAAAGCUAUAUCCCUCUGUAAAUUGGUCUUUAGAGACAGAGGAUUUGCAAUGCACCAUGUCCUUGGCUGUAACAGUAAAUGCUAGCAUCUUAAGGAAAAAAAAACAAAAAAUGCAACCAAUAUAAAGAUGUUAGUUUUAUCACAACUACAUUAGUAUACAUCCUUUGUUAAAUAGUUCUACGCUUAGUUUCUUUUAGGCAUUUUCCAUUAAAGAAAAGAAGAAAAUGAAUUCUUUUGUAUGGAAUAAUUAGGAGAUUAUUGGGUGGAUUCAAAUAUACCAUAGUUUGUCAAUAAUAUGAACAAAAAAAACUUUUUAUUUUGUUUGUAUUAAAACAUUAUGAAUAAUUGUUAUUAAGUCAUCUGCAGAAAGUGGAUAAGUNNNNNNNNNNNNNNNNNNNNACACUCUCUCUCUUCUUUCUUUCUUUCUCUCUCUCUCUCUCUCUCUCUCUCUCUCUCUCUCUCUCUCUCUCUCCCCUCUCAGAGUCCCAACUCCAAACCAUGGAUGAGUACCACCAUACCGGGGGCUCUCCCUUUUUAUAUUAUAUCUGGGCUUCCUUUUGCCUCUCGAAGAUAUUCUUCUCCUUCUUUACAAGUUAUAACAAUAAUAAUAGUUUUGGACGAGAGUGGGGGAGGAGGGGAAGUUACAACGAGGGUGGAGAAGUGGGUGAAAGUAAAUGCGGUGGCUCACAAGUCUCUCCUCCCUCCGUAUUUUGCGCCCACCCAGCGGUGGCCAUCCGUUGCAAGCUGAAUGGUACCCAACGCGGCGCUCCCGAUCCGCCCUCGCUGUACCGCCCCCAACAGCAUCCCCCUCCGGCCAUGACGUGGCCCCCUUCCAUUGGCCGUCAGACCCGGGCCGAACCCUCGAGAUGCUAGGCCCCCCUACCCCCACACACAAAAAAAAAAUCUCCCGCAGAGGAAAAAUUACACGGAUGACCUGUCACUCCCUAGUAGUUCCACGUCAUCUCUGUAUUUUUCUCUGUGUGGGGUGUUCCAGGAGGAUUUCACGGAACCCGAAUCCCACCGCAAAAACAAACCGACUGAAUGACCACCCUUGCAAGCGGCGCUGCACGCUGUUCGAGGCGGCACACCGGAAUCGGAGUGCUUUUUAUUUUUUUCGUGUGUAUUUUGGCUCGCUCGUUUGUUGGUGUGGGACCCAAUUCGGAGACACGUGGUUUCGUCCCGGGGUGCACCUGAUUAAAGUUUUCUUUUUUUUUCUUUUUAACUUUUUAUUUUUUUGUGCUUUAAUUUUGUUUUUAUGUUGGGUCUUAAGGUAGCGUACCGAGUGGGAUGGCUUCACACGUUUUGUCUCGAUUCGUCCUUUAAACGGCGGGUCCACAUAUCUGGUGCUACGUGUCCACCCACCGAAUGACGUCAUCAGGCCUUGCAUCAGCUCCCAGUCUCUUACUGUUCAUAUUAGCUGUGCUAUUCCGCUUCGUGCCAUGUGUUCCGCCGGAUGUUUAUCUAACGGACCCUCUGGCUUCGCCUUUCCCUCUUUUCGGAUCCGGAUCCUACCCGGUUAGACCCAACUUGCCGAACCCACCGCAGUUAGCUUAAACAGGCUCAGGGAUAAGGUACAUAUCUAUGUAUAUAUGUAUGUAUGUAUGUGUGUGUGUAUAUAUGUGUGUAUGUAUGUAUGUAUGUAUGUAUAUGUGUGUAUAUGUAUGUAUAUAUGUGUGUGUGUGUCUAUAUAUAUAUAUAGGUCGGGGGUAAUUCAACUGUAUAAGCAAGGCUCGGGAUAUGGGGAUAUGGAUUUCACCUUAUGGGGAAUAGGCUGAAAGAGCAACAGGCAACCAAGACUUAUGNNNNNNNNNNNNNNNNNNNNNNNNNNNNNNNNNNNNNNNNNNNNNNNNNNNNNNNNNNNNNNNNNNNNNNNNNNNNNNNNNNNNNNNNNNNNNNNNNNNNNNNNNNNNNNNNNNNNNNNNNNNNNNNNNNNNNNNNNNNNNNNNNNNNNNNNNNNNNNNNNNNNNNNNNNNNNNNNNNNNNNNNNNNNNNNNNNNNNNNNNNNNNNNNNNNNNNNNNNNNNNNNNNNNNNNNNNNNNNNNNNNNNNNNNNNNNNNNNNNNNNNNNNNNNNNNNNNNNNNNNNNNNNNNNNNNNNNNNNNNNNNNNNNNNNNNNNNNNNNNNNNNNNNNNCAAGAAGGCAUGGCCCGUCACUUUGCUAGUGUCAUUGGUGAGCUGAAGCACGCCAUCGGAUGUGAUGCGAGCAUAGCCAUCUAAGCUCAGACUGGUGGCUGGUUUGAAACCAUUGUAGGUAAAAUCGAUACCAACAGAGAGGGAAGAGCACGCUAAGAGAAGAACGAGGAACGGAAGCACGAUGGAUGCUGCCAUGAUGACUUGAGAAAAAAACCGGGAGAAGAUAAUGGAAAUAGAGGGGCCUUUGCGAUGGAUGAGCUUGUCUGGAAGUCUUUUCGAAUGACUUUUCCGACUAGACUGCUUGUCUUGGCUUGGCCGAUCUAACCCUUCAGCAAAGGCAUCGUCAGAAGAUGACAAGUGGAAAUGAAAUCGCCCACAAAGACCGCUAGGCGUGAGGUUCAGAAGGAAAUAAUUGCAGGGCAUCAAAUACCAGCCAAGACGACUCGGAAGACUUCCACUUGGAAAAUAAAAAGUCUUGGAAGCUUCCUGACAAUAAAUAAUAAUUGCUAGACAUCCUAACAGGGGUGGUGCUUGCUGCACCCCACACUUAGCCAUCGAAGUUUUUAAUUCAUUAGAUGUCUUUUCCAAGGCUAACAACAAUCUUAGGUUACCAUUAGAUGCCUUCUUCCUUCGGUUCAGGUUUACGAGGGAAUGAAAACCGCGGAGCAUUGUAUGAGAGAUUUCAGGGUGGAAACAUCAGCAUCCAGGUAUCUGUUCGCUCUUUCAUGUUGUGAUUCUUUCACCCGUCUGCAUGUUUUUAUCUCGUGGAAAACCAAAAUCUACAGUUCUACAUGCGUAGGUCAACAAAUGCCAUCUAUUCACUGUCUGAAUGAAACUUGACCUUCGUUGCGUGGUUCAUCAGAUGAGCACUUGACUUGGGCCGACACAGGAAUCGGGGCUGCAGUGAUCCGUGCACUAUGUACGAGAGAGAGAGAGAGAGAGAGAGAGAGANNNNNNNNNNNNNNNNNNNNAGAGAGAGAGAGAGAGAGAGAGAGAGGAAGUUGAGCCACAAUCUCAUUUGUGGGAUUCAUGAUCCAAAUCCUGCUGACGCAAAUUAUGUGAUGGACUAUCCAAAUUUAGAAUCCAGAUAUUUGGGAAGCUUAUGCAUCACACGAACACAAAAUGACAACUGACGAUGAUGCCAUAUUAAAACCAGAAAAGUUUUGGUCCUUACACGUUUUGAUAUUGAUGGUUGGGAUUCUUGAAGCGUAUAGCCACCCAUGCUUUUGUGACCCUGGCUCUUCCACUAUUCCAUAUGAUAUUUCAAUUAAUUUGACUUUAUUCGUAGUUGAAGUUUCCAAAAUUUUCGAAUUUAGUUCAUGUGUUUUGAGAUCUUUUGUUCAUGAUCAAGGGUUUUUUAUUUAUGCCAGCUAUUCGCCUUUUGGCAUGUUAUUAGCACUUUAAAUACCAGUUUCACCUGAAUUGGUUAGGUUUUAUGCUGUUCAGAACACCCAGAAACAUCAAUUACUUCCUGAACUACUUACAGAUUAUCUUCUAUUAGUUUCUUUUCUUAUUGCCCCUUAUGUUCAAUGAUUUAAGUUGUUAAUUAUAAAUGAUAUUAUAUUUCAGUGAAUUCUUGAGGGAUGUUUGGAUGAAUAAUAGGUUUUGCCUCUUUUGCAAUUUAAGUUGUUAAUAAUAUAUAUAGGGUUUUUUGCAUGAAUAGCCUUCUUAAAAAAAACUUGCAUGAAUACCCUCUUAAAAUUUAUAUUUAUUUAUGUACCCUUAUAAAAUACUAUUUUUUUCAUAAAUGCCCCUAAUAUAAUAGUUCUUCUAACACCAUUAAUAAAAACCAUAUUUAUUUUAAUUAAAAAUAAAAUAAAAUUUGAAAUUAUUUUUUUGUCUUCCAUCGCGAUCGCCUUAUAAAUUAUUUUUUUUUUACAUAUCUACCCAUUAAGGAUAUUUUAGUUAUUUUAAUUUAAAACCGCUAAUUUUUAACGGUGUUAGAUGGCGUAGUACAUAUGCAAAAAUAAAAUAAAAAAGAGUAGAAUAGCAAAAUAAAUGUUGUAAGAGGAUAUAUAUGUAAAUAUCAAUUUUGAGAGUGUAUUCAUACAAAAUUCGAUAUUUAGAAGGAUAUUCAUGCAAAAAAAAAACCAUAUAUAUAUAUAUAUAAUGUUUUGUAUAUCAUUUUUAAAUUGAGAGACAAAAACCAUCUCCACUAUUAUAUAAAUUAAUAAAUUAAUGAAUAAAGACUUCAAGAGAUUGGGAAAUAAGGAGAUAAAACAUGAAGAAUAGACGAAGAGCGUUGAUGUUUUUAUUUGUUUUUUUAAAUUUGAAAGAAUCUAGCGGCUUGAAGACGUGGAUAAGGGAUGGUAGAGAUUUUCUUGAAAAUAAAAACAUCUAGUUUGGGAUGCCUUAGGGAAACCUCACAACUAAGAGAUAAAGGUGUAAAAUAAAUAGAGAUGCACAUAGAUCAUAUAUCUAACUUCUUGAUCGCAUUAUUUUCACAUAUAUUUAUGAAGAGAAUAACUAGGAACAUUCUGGUAUUUGACAGAUAAUCUGAUAUGAAAUUACCUCUUUCAUUAAUAAUAUGGUAUAGAUACAUAAAACAGUAACAUAUAAUUGCAAUUACAACCUAUAACUAGAAUUGCAAUCUCUGUUAGAGGCAAGUAAAAUUGCAGCAAACCAAACAGCCACUUAUCUUAUUACCAAUUCAUUUCCAGGCCUAAUCUGAUAUUGAAAUAGCUCAAGGAAUGCAAUUAGCAUGCCAUGAAUUACAUUUAGAAGCUAUGUGACAUGUCUAGUAAAACACGCAUCAUAUCCUGCAUAUUUAAAUAACUCGAAAUUAGUAGUUGUUGUUUUAGUACUUAAAAUAUUUCAUAGUGAUUCAGAAGGAUUCUCAGACUCGAUGUGACCACUUUGACCACUACAAGCAAGGCUGGACAGAAUGCAGGAGCGAGAUCUGCUACAUCGGAAAGUCUAGUCGCAGUCAAACUUUCGGAUACGAUGUCCGAUUGAGAUAAUCUUUUUUAAAAAAAAUCAGAUAUUUUUUCGAGAUCUACAACUAAGAUAUUGACUUGGGAUGAAAUUCCACUAUUAGGCCCCAAAACGGGCUGGCCAAACUAAAAGUUUUUUUUCGGAUAAGAUUUUGACCGGACGUAGCUCUCUAUCCGUGAAGAAUCAGGCAGAACGACAGGAGGCAGAGUUAAUGUAGAAGUCGAGAUCUACCUCCUCGAGAUUUUUAUCUUUUUUUUACUAGAGAUGCCUAUUUUAGAAAAAAGAGUCCUACUAAAAUUAAGAAAAGGAAUCCAACUCAAAUUGUGUUAAGGUGGAUCUUACAUUAUAAAUAAAGGCUAUAUACCUCGAUUUUUUAAGGACUCAUGAAAGAAAAUGGGUCUUUAAUCCCUACUUUCAUGAGUCCUUCCAUCUUCUAGUAAUCUUUCGAGAUAUUCGAGUUGAGCUGGUUGAAGAGAAUCUUCCUCCCCAAUCGGAUCAAGUUGAUAUCAGAGCUCCAGUCCUCUAUAUCUGUAAGGCCUCUGAUCAUGGUCCAAAUGCAUAAGCAAUACAAUCAAUCAGGAAAAGGGCAAUCUGUGCUUUAAAUACAUCGAAGGACAAAGGCGAGUAUGGCUAUUAGUUCUUCCUCGAUAGGUGAUGAUGAGAUAAAAGGAUGUCCCUUACAACUAAAGGAGAAAAUUGCCCAACUCGCCAAGAUCGUCUCAAGAUUGGCGAUAUCUUCAGUAAAAGCACCGACAACUCCUAUUACGAAGCUGUCUCCUACGGCUCGAGAUGAAGAGCCACUAUCCAGCGAGGAAGAUAAGGAUUAGCGAUCUAUGGGUUAGAAAAAUCUCUCUUCAAUCAUGUAAAGUUGAGACUCGAAUCGAAAUCCCUAUAUAUGAUGAGGUAGACUAGUUAGAGAUAUAUUUUAUUGUCUAUGGAUACUCAAGUAUCCAAAAGGUAGCUUCCGUCCAUCUCAAGCUUUCUAGCCAUGCUCUUAUCUGGUGAAAUUUGUACAUGAGGAACAACAAUGUUUCAAAUCUGACAUGGAACAAAUAUAAAAGCCUAAUCAAGAAGUAAUUCUGCCCACUCGGCCACAAGGAGGAUCUGUGGAUCAAGUGGCAGUACCUACGAUAGACCAGUAUGUCUAGAACUACAGCACCGAGUUUUACAAACAAACGAUCUCACUCGAAAUCUCCAUCAAUGAUCAUGCAGUUUUUAUAAAGUACAUCGGAAGUUUCCACAAGAGUAUCCGAAAGAAGCUGAAACUCUUUGAAGUUGAAGACAUCAGCAAAGCCAGCAUGAAGGCUACGGGAAUUGAGAAGAAAAAUCAGCCUAGAAAAGGUAAAAAGGGCGACAAGUUCAAGAAAAACAGCAAAAAUCCAUGUCAAGAGAGAGAGCAAGGAAAAAAGCACGCCAAUGCGACCCAAAAAAUUUAUUAUGAUCAUUAUAACCUCUGUGAACACACCAAGGAGAAGUGUUGUAAACUUCAUCCCGAGCUAUGGCCGAAGAGGAAGACACAGGAAGAAGAGAAUUCUAAGAAGAGAAAGGCAGUUCUUAAUACUAUAGAAGUUAAGAAGCUGCCUGAACUUGAGCAAACAGACUUCAAAUUAAGCCUGAUGGCGAGAAAACCUGAGAUAGCAACUGAAACAAAUUUAUAGGUGCGAGAAGAACUUUUCCGCCUGGAGAUCCAGUUGAAGCAGAGCAUUGUUGAGACUAGUGUAGAUCCUAAAAGCCAAAAGAACCUCAUCUGUGAAAAUCUAGUUCAAAAGCAAGGGUUGCGGACUAAACCUCGUCCACAUCCCUACUCUCUUGGUUGGAUUUAGAAGAUCGUUGAAUUGAAAAUUACUAAGUAAUGUACCUUCAAAUUUGUUAUAACUAAGAGGUAUAUCGACUAGGUAAUUUAUUAAGUUGCUCCUUUCGAUGUUUGCCCGGUUAUUCUUGGAAGCUCAUAUCUUUGAGAUCGAGACACAGUCUUUUACCGACAUCUAAAGAAGUAUCGAUUCAUAAAGGAUGGAAAGAAGUUUAUAAUCAAUGCCUCCAAAACACUAGAAAACAGACCUUACAAUUGCUGCCUAAGUGAAGCAACUUGUUAAUGCCUACAACAAGUUCAUGAUGAUAGUAUGAAAAUUUGAUAUUACUUACGAGAAAUUAAGCUUUCGUUCUUUGGUUCCAUUGACUGAUAUACCGAGAUCAAGAUUGAGGAGUCGCGAUAGUCGCCAUCAACGAGAAAGGACAGCAAGGAGCGUCCCUACCACAAAGUAUAAAUAUAGGAGCAAAGCAAGUGGUUUACUGAGACUCAAGAGUAAAGAAAAAUCAGGCCAGAAACCAUCUCCAAGCAAAGCUAGAUGGUUCAACCGCAAGAUAGGGAAGCGAGAGUUUCCCCACCUUCAAUUCGGAUUUAGUAGAAGCUAAAUCUCCUAAACAGAAAGAGCCCUAAUCCAAAGGAUCCUCAGACUCGAUGUGACCGCUACGAGUAAGGUUGGACAGAGUGCAGGAACGAGAUCCACCACAUCAAGAAGCCGAAUCGCAACUAAACUUUCAGAGGCCAUGGCUUGGACAUAAGUGCCCAAUUGAGUGAUCUUUUUUAAAAAAAAUUAAGUAUCUUUUCGAAAUCUACAAUUAGAAUAUUGAAUUGAAAUAAAAUUUCUCUGUUAAACUCCGAAAUGGGCUGAUCAAAUUAAAAGUUUUCAUUUCAUAUAAGACUUUGACCAGACAUAGCUCUCGAUCCGAAAAGAAUCAGACAGAGCGACAAAAAACAGAAUUGAUAUCGAAACAAGAUGUACCUAAUUAAGAAUUUUAGCUUUUUUUAUUAGAAAUGUUUGUUUUAGAAAAAAGUAUCCUACUAAGAUUAGAAAGAACAAUCCAACCCAAAUUUUUGUUAGAACGGAUCUUACAUUAUAAAUAAAGUUAUGUACCUUGAUUUUAAGGAUUAAUGAAAGAAAAGAAGACUUUAAGCCCCACUUUCGUAAUUCCUACUACUUUUUUAAAAAAAAAUUCAAGUUGAGCAAGUUGAAAAAAAAAUUUCUUCUCUCCAAUCGGAUCUCAUAGAUAUAACCUUACUUUCAUAAAAAAGAAAAAAACUUAUUUUAUUCUCAUUUCUGAUCUAGUAGCUUAAUCGUCUGGAGCAAUUAGUGAAAAGAAAUUUUCAACCACUAAUACUCAACCACCAAACUUCAUGAGCAACGUUGUGCACCUAUAAUGCAAGCAUACAAAUGCAUCCAUACUGUGAAUGGAAUCGAGUAGACAUGAAGAUAAGGAAUGGAUAUUUGACACAAAAAUUUUAAUCCCACAAUCAUCAUAGAAGUAAAAACAUAUGUUCGAAAUAUACAUCAUGUUCAGUCCUUUUUGUUUCUUCUACCUAUCAUGCAACUAGUUUCGGAAUGAUUGGUUUUGAAUACCAGACUGAAGCAUGGAUUGGAAACCUGCAUGGAACCCCUGUGUAUAUGCUGCAUUCUUCAUACUCAUCUGCAAUAAUAUUGCAGUCGGUUAGUUGUGAGCUAUUGAAAGUAAAGGGAAAAUACGGUGUUCAUAGUUGCACUUUUCAUAGUUUAUAUAUGGUGGUUACCAUAUGAGGCUCGCCCUCAGUUACAUACUCAACAAGGUUGACUCUAUAAAUUGAGAUCCAACAGAUUAUGUAGUUCAAUACUGGAUGUUCUCGGUGUUUUCCUUUCCUGCUCGUUUCAUGCAAGUAUCAUCCACCACUCCAGUCACAACAUCCUAUGAACUACUUUAACUUCUCGAAUUAAAUUAUUAUCACCAAAUGAUUGGAAAAUAAUUUUUAAAAAUACUGACAUCACAUACAGCAUCUCAUGAUUCCUUCAUGAAAUAGCCAAGAAUUAUUAAAGUAAUAAUACUAUUUGUUGAUGUACUUGCCUUUUUCCCAUGUUUGCAGGUUCAUGUACGGCCUAGCAUAAACUAUUGUUAUCUUAGAAUAUAUAUGUUAAAUUCUGACAUCACUUUUGGCUAAUGUUUAUAUUUUUCCUGAAUAUUAAACUUCCUCUCCCAAACAAAUUUCCAAAUAGCAGAUUUAUAUAUGGACAAUUGCUUUUCCCUCUAUGCUGACACUAAUACCCCAGUUUAGAUCCUUUCAAGAACUAGAGUCCAAUAUAAUCUCCUACCAUCGUCCAUGGAUCAAUAAAUAGUAGGCGAUUGAACAAGGCAGGUAAAUAUGAUGGGACCUGCUUGCAAUUAUGUCUCACUCUUUUCAAGCACUUGCUGUUGAUUGAUGCACAGCAGGUGAUUGAAUUAGACUUUACAGUUCAUUUUACAAGCUGGAAAGUAUCCUAAUCCCAAAUACAAUACCCUUUAUUCCAAUGUACUUGAAAGAAAGAGAGUUUUACUGUAACUUAACUAGGCAUUGUAUGUGUUAGUAUUUCACCAUGUUAUUUUCUGGUUCACUUACCGCUUAAUCAAAUGACAAAUAUACCCUUAUCUUUAUGCAAGUAUACAUGAAAACACACGAGUAAAGGAGAGGGAUAUUCGUGUCCUUAGGUACCAUGUAUAAAAUUUGCUCUUUCCACCCUUUUUGUAUCAUAGCUCUCCAAAUAUUAUAAAUUAUGUCCAUGAAGAUCACUUUACUGUUCCCAAGGUAUAAUUUCACAGAUUAGAGGCUAAAGUCAAUUGUCUUCUACAUAUAUCAAAACACAUGCAAGGCAGCUCAGUGCAUGAGGCUUCCGUCACUGUAGAGUUUGAGAGGGUCAGAUGUACACAGCCUUACCUCCAUUUGCGGAGAAGCUUUUUCCGAAUUUUGAACUCGCGACCUUCAGGUCACAAAAAAGCAACUUUACCAUUGCACCAAGGCUCACAAUGGAGCAAAAAGAAACUCAAGUAGUUCGGAUACUUCUAAAUCAUAAAGUAAAUGAUUUGCUCUGUUUUAAAAAAAAAUGUUCAUUUGGUGAUCUCAUAAUGCAUGCAUACUAAGUUUCAGAAACAUUAGGAAUCUAGGUUUUGGGCAUUCAUGACAAUGUAUCUGAUGGUGAACAGUCUGGGCUAUCUAUAUUAUGUCUCAUCAAUUAAUGACUAUAGGGCAUAACUGAGUUGGUUAUAUCUCGUGAACAUUAGUCAUUAGAUGUGUGUUCGUGUGUAUGUCUAUAAAUAUAUGUUUGUGUGUAUGCCUGCAUGUAUCAACAAGAAAUGGCCACCGUCACCAUAUGUCAAAACAGAAAGUACAAAUCCAACAUAUCAUACUUACAGUCAUGUUCUCCAAAUCAGACACAACCCGCUUUCUGAUUCCAUCCAAUACUGAACGUCCACGAAGUUCCAUCUGUUGAACAUUUGAAUUCUUAGACACCUAAAAAUUUAGUCAACCAAGGAAACAUCAAAUUCCAAUAGAAAGAAAAGAUGGUAAGAUGGUAAAGAAAGUGAUGUGCAUGGUAACUUCAAUUACCUCUGAUAAAAAGGCUGUGGAUAUUUUAUCUAUAAUUUCAUUUACAAAUUUUCCCACAUCAGAAGCUUCAGCCAAUGCGUCUACUCUGUUUUGAGUCUUCUCCACUGCAUUUUUCGGAAGAUCCGGCCGACUAUUAGCUUGUCCUUAACAUGGGAAAGAAAAGCAUGUUUCAAUGGAUGUGUGCAUUAAGCAGUAUUGGAGAAGACAUCAGAAUAAAUACGAAUAUUAGCAAACAAACAUUUAAUAGACAAAAUAAAGUACAUGUUCAAUGGGUGCUAAAGCAGUGGUAGUGACUUUCUAUAAAAUAUGCUCUGCUAGGAAGCCUGAUUGAUCUGACUGGUGUUUCUUCUGAGAGUUUUGAGUUUACAAAAAAUAUGUUGUGCUGUGCUGCUUAUAUUUUUCUUAUAAGUUUAGGCACAGGUAUUAUUGAUUUUUCCUUAGAUUUUAAAUCCUGCUUAAGGACCCCUUGGGAAAUAUGAAAUGCUCAUUAAAAGUUCAAGUACUCGCAUGGGCUUGCUUAAAAUCUUGAACCAAAAAGUUUUGGGAAAGGGAUGCAAGCUGUCUGUCCGCAUAAAUCCAAUGGUCAUCGCUAAUUGCUUCAGGAACAAAUUGACAACAUGGGGUAUAUUUUAGCCCUUCUAUUUCAGAUCCUGUAAAAAGUAAAUCUUUUUUCUACCCAUGACAAGAAAAUCCCAGAGCCAGCAGGCAACCCAUUUCCCCUCCAGCCCUCCGUAUUUGGCCUCUAAUUCAUGCCUCACAUAUGAACAUAAAAAUUAGGUAAAUAGAACAGCUGUACCCACUCUGCUUAAAUUAGCAUUGUACCUUUACUUUUAUUCAAUGUUUUAAUAUAUGGCUGUGGUAUAUGGAUGGCAUGGACCGCAUAAUGCAUAAGGUCACAUAUGCAAGCACAUAUACGAUUACUAAUUUAAAUAUUUAAACAAAAUCAGAUACAUUCUAUAAUAAUGGCAAUAAUUUUAUAAGUCAUAGCAAUAUUAAUAAUGCUAAUAUCUAGCAAAGAGUUAUUAGUACUUGAUUCUUAUUAGUGAUAAUUAUAGCACAAUUACCGCAUCUAUAUUGUUAAUAUACAUGUACCUAGCUCCCUUAAAACCUACAUCCAACCCAACUAUUAGCUUGAACCCACCUUACUCGCAUGGGCUUACAUGAGAGUGGUCAUAUAUGUGGCCGCACAAUGCUAAAAGAGCUGCAUAUGCGGUCACAAAAUGAUAACUAGGCUGCAAGUCUACCAAUCUUUUUUUGGAUGAGGUCUUGGGUUGUUACCAAUAGUAUCAAAGCAGAUCCAACCCAAAGCCCAUGUGAACUAGAAGAUACUGCAAUAUUGGUUGUUUUGCAAUUAACCACAAGUUGUUUGUAGUGCUUGUCAUUGAAUUUGAUUGGAUUUGGACCUUAAGCCCAGCAAGGACACCAAGGCCUAAAAAAUGGAGGGAUAUGAGGACCAAUGAGUGUAUGUUUAGUCCUACAUUGGUUCUAUACUAGGUGAAUUUAUGGCACUUAUAUAGGGCUGAGGAACCCAAACAAUACCUUCUAGCUAGCCUUUUUGGGUGAAGACCUGAUCAUUACAUAAGUAAAUCAUCUUUUCAGCCCAUAUAUGGCCCAACUGCAUGUAGUAGCUGCCUAUAGGGUAUACAGUGCAGACAAUGGAACAUAUAUGCAUAUGCAGAUACAUAUGUGGCCUUAUAGACUACAUUUUAAAACAGCGCUUUUAUUGCAAAGGGAAUUGCAUUUUUCCAAGUUAAUGUGGGACAUAAAAGCAUCAAGAAAAAGUGCAUCACACGGCUAACAAUGACGCAUUUGAUGCCCAAUCAAAUGACAAGGAUACUCUCAUUUCUUUCAAGUGCAUGUGAAUAUAGUAAGCAUUCAGAUGAUACAAGAGGUGCUUGAAAACCUUUCUC
Molecule: long non-coding RNA, 24203 nt
Filed under: Phoenix dactylifera (date palm)
Lineage: Eukaryota; Viridiplantae; Streptophyta; Magnoliopsida; Arecales; Arecaceae
Description: long non-coding RNA (PDAC_LNC002974)
Source: RNAcentral